RNAcentral lists this unclassified non-coding RNA (2153 nucleotides) under Apis dorsata (giant honeybee). RNAcentral describes it as "hemicentin-1-like, transcript variant X2". Lineage: Eukaryota; Metazoa; Arthropoda; Insecta; Hymenoptera; Apidae. The record is from RNAcentral.
AUAUUUUAAUCUUUAAUUUAGAACAAUUUUAAUUAAAUAUCAUUUUUUUUAUUUCUUUAAACUUUCGAAAAUUAAUAUGAUAAAAAAUUUUUGAAUAUAUUUGAUUUUAAUCUUGAUAAAGAUACAAAAUCUUAAGAAUAAUUAAAGUGCGAUUAAGAACAAAUAAAUGUAUCGUAAAAAAGAUUAUAAAACUAGAUUGAGUCGUUGGCGCAAUCGCAAAUUAGAAAUAUCGCGAGGCGCCACUGCACUCUGAUUUUAACCUUUCCCUUCCCUCGAAUAGGAGUAGCUUUCAGUAUUGAAAACGCUAUCGAAGCGCGCUGUUCUCGAAGGUGUUUCAUUAUGUUUUCAAUGAUCGUAAAAAAUUAGUUGAAUUAAUAAAUUUUUUAUAUAUUUUUCAUUUUAUAUUAUUUUUUAAAUAAGUAUAAGAAUAUUGAAUAUUACUUCUUUUUCUAUGAAUAAAUCCUAUUUGUUAUAUGAAGAUAACAAGUUUUUUUGAAAUAAAAUUUAUUUCUUCAUUGAAUAUGUGCAAUUUUAUUUUUUGAUUUUUAUUUUUUUCUUUUUUGUUGAUCGAGAUUUCUAUUACUUCAAUGAUAAAGAUUGAACGAAAUCAUAUAUAAAAUUGUAAUAUAAAAUUGUAAUAUAAAAUUGCAUAAAAUUACAAUUACAAUUAUUAUCUCGCGACGGAAUUAAAACAUUUAUGAUUUAUGUGAGUGAAAAUUUAUUUCAUUUAUAUUAUUUGUAAAAAGUUAAAAUAUCAUUCACAUGACUAUCUCGAAGAAAUUAUUCAGGAGGUGGAGAACGAAAAAUUAUAAUGAUCAAGAGAUGAUCGAGAGAUCAUCGAUAAUUUUUGAAGAUUUGUUAAAAUUUGAAAGAAACGAAAAGGGCAACGAAUGAAGAUGAAAGAAUUUCAUACGUAAAAAAAUGGCACCAUUCCAUGGCAUGGCCCUUAUAUUGCUUGGAAUCGGAUACCUGUUACACGCAGAACCGCCAUCCGGUCAUCGGACUUUAGCGGUGCAACGAUUCGAUGGAGAAAAAACCGAUAAAGGCGAACGGUCGCAACGAGGUGCGAAGAAGACAUAUUUUUAUAAAGAUUCGCCCCAAAAAGUGACCGCCGUUGUGGGACAAACUGUUGUGCUGUUGUGUCGUGUUAAGAAUCUGGGGAAUAGAACAGUGUCUUGGAUUCGAAAAAGCGACUUACACAUCUUAACGUCCAUGUCGGUGACUUAUACGAGCGACGCAAGAUUUAAGAUAAUCGGCAAUCCGGAGCAUGACGACUGGAAUCUGCGAAUAGAUUACGUUCAACCACGGGACGAUGGCAUUUACGAGUGUCAAGUUAAUGCAGAGCCCAAGAUAUAUAGGGCGAUUACUUUGAAAGUUUUGGAUGUGCAGGCAAAGAUCACGGAGCCCAAGGAAGUGUAUGUGAAAAAGGGAAGCACGAUCAGUUUGACAUGUAUCGUGGACGUGCAAGAUAUUUCUCCGAGCAACGUGACUUGGUACCAUGCCGGUGCGAUGAUCGAUUUCGACGAUCCAAGGGGUGGCGUUUCCCUGGAAACGGAGAAAGGUAAGAACGGGACCACUAGCAAGCUGCUAAUAACGCGCGCCCAACAUGACGACAGUGGUAAUUACACGUGCGUGUCGAGCAAGGUCGCUGCGAAUGUAAUGGUACACGUGUUGAACGGUGAACAUCCUGCAGCUAUGCAACACGGUGGAACCGGGAACAUCAACAGGAGGGCGAUUUUGUUCAGCCUGGUUCUCCUAAUGGACACGAUAUUUCGGUGAACGAAAACGGACGAAUUUCUUCAUUGUCCAUGCCUGUUCCCGUCAAAAAUCGUCGUCACCCGAUCGAUAUCGACGAAUCAAUGACGCGCAUCAGAGAAGGGGAAGAGAGAGAGAGAGAGAGAGAGAGAGAGAGAGAGAGAGAGAAGGGACGUUUUCCGAUAUCCAAUAAAGCCGAACUUCGACCUCGGCGAAUGUUUCGCUUGGAUACGAUUUAAAACGGCAUACCAUGCAGAAACGCUGCCUGCCAGUAAACAGGUAACUUGCGAGAUGACGUGCAAUUUGUUUUUCUUUCUAUCGUAGGAAUUAUUAACGCGAGAUACGAAUGCGUUAGGUGAUUUUCGAUUUAAUGGCCGUGCGAAGAUGGAAGAAGGAAA